This 465-nucleotide ribosomal RNA is filed under the name uncultured Haemophilus sp. RNAcentral describes it as "bacterial SSU rRNA". It matches the Rfam family "Bacterial small subunit ribosomal RNA", at positions 338 to 795 of the family's 1533-position model. The record is from RNAcentral. Lineage: Bacteria; Pseudomonadati; Pseudomonadota; Gammaproteobacteria; Pasteurellales; Pasteurellaceae.
CCUACGGGAGGCAGCAGUGGGGAAUAUUGCACAAUGGGGGGAACCCUGAUGCAGCCAUGCCGCGUGAAUGAAGAAGGCCUUCGGGUUGUAAAGUUCUUUCGGUAGCGAGGAAGGCAUUUAGUUUAAUAGACUAGGUGAUUGACGUUAACUACAGAAGAAGCACCGGCUAACUCCGUGCCAGCAGCCGCGGUAAUACGGGGGGUGCGAGCGUUAAUCGGAAUAACUGGGCGUAAAGGGCACGCAGGCGGUGACUUAAGUGAGAUGUGAAAGCCCCGGGCUUAACCUGGGAAUUGCAUUUCAUACUGGGUCGCUAGAGUACUUUAGGGAGGGGUAGAAUUCCACGUGUAGCGGUGAAAUGCGUAGAGAUGUGGAGGAAUACCGAAGGCGAAGGCAGCCCCUUGGGAAUGUACUGACGCUCAUGUGCGAAAGCGUGGGGAGCAAACAGGAUUAGAUACCCCAGUAGUC